This is a non-coding RNA of Pelobates cultripes (western spadefoot toad), 222 nucleotides long. Lineage: Eukaryota; Metazoa; Chordata; Amphibia; Anura; Pelobatidae. The record is from the annotation of a GenBank genome assembly.
GGGGUGACUAGUGACCAGAGUGAGAGAGGGGGUGACUAGUGACCGAGUGAGGGAGGGAGUGGGUGACUAGUGACAGAGUGAGGAAGGGGGUGACACAGUGAUAGUCACCCCAUUCCUCCCUCUGUCACUAAUCACCACCUCCCUCACUCUCACUAGUCACCCCUUCCCUCUCUCACUCUGUCACUAGUCACACCCUCCCUCUCUCUGUCACUAGUCACACCC